UACGUAGGGGGCAAGCGUUGUCCGGAAUCAUUGGCGUAAAGAGCGUGUAGGCGGCCCGAUAAGUCCGCUGUGAAAGUCCAGGGCUCAACCCUGGAAGGCCGGUGGAAACUGUCGGGCUAGAGUCCGGAAGAGGCGAGUGGAAUUCCCGGUGUGAGCGGUGAAAUGCGCAGAUAUCGGGAGGAACACCAAUGGCGAAGGCAGCUCGCUGGGACGGUACUGACGCUGAGACGGCGAAAAGCGUGGG
RNAcentral lists this ribosomal RNA (244 nucleotides) under uncultured bacterium. RNAcentral describes it as "partial 16S ribosomal RNA". It matches the Rfam family "Bacterial small subunit ribosomal RNA", at positions 524 to 765 of the family's 1533-position model. The record is from RNAcentral.